CUGGCUUGGUUUCCUUUUGUUUCAGAAUUUCAAACCCGUAUGCUGUUCAACCAAGCAUUCAGCAGAGGUUUGCAAAUUUCUCGUAUUCUUGGUGGGCAAAGAAAGGAGCGCUCUUCUCGCAACAAGGAAUAGUUCUUAACUACGAUAGCUUAAUAUUCGUUGGUUGCGCUACUAGCUGCACCAAGAUAUUCUGUAUCAAUUGUAAUUAGUUGUAACUAUGAAACAUACAUAUUCUACUCUUCAAUUUCAUUACAACGUUAAAUUAUCAUGAUCAAUUAUUCAAGUUAUCAAGUCUUUC
This 298-nucleotide long non-coding RNA is filed under the name Vigna radiata. RNAcentral describes it as "long non-coding RNA (VRAD_LNC003239)". The record is from RNAcentral. Lineage: Eukaryota; Viridiplantae; Streptophyta; Magnoliopsida; Fabales; Fabaceae.